CAACCUGCCGAUAACUCGGGGAUAGCCUUUCGAAAGAAAGAUUAAUACCCGAUGGUAUAAUUAGACCGCAUGGUCUUGUUAUUAAAGAAUUUCGGUUAUCGAUGGGGAUGCGUUCCAUUAGGCAGUUGGUGAGGUAACGGCUCACCAAACCUUCGAUGGAUAGGGGUUCUGAGAGGAAGGUCCCCCACAUUGGAACUGAGACACGGUCCAAACUCCUACGGGAGGCAGCAGUGAGGAAUAUUGGUCAAUGGGCGCAGGCCUGAACCAGCCAAAUAGCGUGAAGGAUGACUGCCCUAUGGGUUGUAAACUUCUUUUAUAUGGGAAUAAAGUAUUCCACGUGUGGGAUUUUGUAUGUACCAUAUGAAUAAGGAUCGGCUAACUCCGUGCCAGCAGCCGCGGUAAUACGGAGGAUCCGAGCGUUAUCCGGAUUUAUUGGGUUUAAAGGGAGCGUAGGUGGAUUGUUAAGUCAGUUGUGAAAGUUUGCGGCUCAACCGUAAAAUUGCAGUUGAAACUGGCAGUCUUGAGUACAGUAGAGGUGGGCGGAAUUCGUGGUGUAGCGGUGAAAUGCUUAGAUAUCACGAAGAACUCCGAUUG
This 594-nucleotide ribosomal RNA is filed under the name uncultured Bacteroidota bacterium. RNAcentral describes it as "bacterial SSU rRNA". It matches the Rfam family "Bacterial small subunit ribosomal RNA", at positions 122 to 715 of the family's 1533-position model. The record is from RNAcentral. Lineage: Bacteria; Pseudomonadati; Bacteroidota.